This 661-nucleotide ribosomal RNA is filed under the name uncultured Marinobacter sp. Its description in RNAcentral is "bacterial SSU rRNA". It matches the Rfam family "Bacterial small subunit ribosomal RNA", at positions 38 to 690 of the family's 1533-position model. The record is from RNAcentral. Lineage: Bacteria; Pseudomonadati; Pseudomonadota; Gammaproteobacteria; Pseudomonadales; Marinobacteraceae.
GGCGGCAGGCUUAACACAUGCAAGUCGAGCGGUAACAGGGGUAGCUUGCUACCCGCUGACGAGCGGCGGACGGGUGAGUAAUGCUUAGGAAUCUGCCCAGUAGUGGGGGAUAGCCCGGGGAAACCCGGAUUAAUACCGCAUACGUCCUACGGGAGAAAGCAGGGGAUCUUCGGACCUUGCGCUAUUGGAUGAGCCUAAGUCGGAUUAGCUAGUUGGUGGGGUAAAGGCGUACCAAGGCGACGAUCCGUAGCUGGUCUGAGAGGAUGACCAGCCACAUCGGGACUGAGACACGGCCCGAACUCCUACGGGAGGCAGCAGUGGGGAAUAUUGGACAAUGGGGGCAACCCUGAUCCAGCCAUGCCGCGUGUGUGAAGAAGGCUUUCGGGUUGUAAAGCACUUUCAGUAGGGAGGAAAACCUUAUGGCUAAUACCCAUGAGGCUUGACGUUACCUACAGAAGAAGCACCGGCUAACUCCGUGCCAGCAGCCGCGGUAAUACGGAGGGUGCAAGCGUUAAUCGGAAUUACUGGGCGUAAAGCGCGCGUAGGUGGUUUGGUAAGCGAGAUGUGAAAGCCCCGGGCUUAACCUGGGAACGGCAUUUCGAACUUGUCAGACUAAGUGUGGUAGAGGGUAGUGGAAUUUCCUGUGUACCGGUGAAAUGCU